Molecule: ribosomal RNA, 964 nt
Filed under: Rigidoporus sp.
Lineage: Eukaryota; Fungi; Basidiomycota; Agaricomycetes; Polyporales; Meripilaceae
Description: partial large subunit ribosomal RNA
Rfam family: Eukaryotic large subunit ribosomal RNA
Source: RNAcentral
UAGCAUAUCAAUAAGCGGAGGAAAAGAAACUAACAAGGAUUCCCAUAGUAACUGCGAGUGAAGCGGGAAAAGCUCAAAUUUAAAAUCUGGCAGUCUUUGGCUGUCCGAGUUGUAAUCUGGAGAAGUGCUUUCCGCGCUGGACCGUGUACAAGUCUCUUGGAAUAGAGCGUCAUAGAGGGUGAGAAUCCCGUCUUUGACACGGACUACCAGUGCUUUGUGAUGCGCUUUCAAAGAGUCGAGUUGUUUGGGAAUGCAGCUCAAAAUGGGUGGUAAAUUCCAUCUAAAGCUAAAUAUUGGCGAGAGACCGAUAGCGAACAAGUACCGUGAGGGAAAGAUGAAAAGCACUUUGGAAAGAGAGUUAAACAGUACGUGAAAUUGCUGAAAGGGAAACGCUUGAAGUCAGUCGCGUUGUUCAGAACUCAGCCUGGCUUUGGCUUGGUGCAUUUUCUGAAUAACGGGCCAGCAUCAAUUUUGACUGUUGGAUAAAGGCCAGGGAAAUGUGGCUCCCUUGGGAGUGUUAUAGUCCUUGGUUGCAUACAAUGGUUGGGAUUGAGGAACUCAGCAUGCCUUUAUGGUCGGGGUUCGCCCACGUUCAUGCUUAGGAUGCUGGCGUAAUGGCUUUAAACGACCCGUCUUGAAACACGGACCAAGGAGUCUAACAUGUCUGCGAGUGUUUGGGUGGAAAACCCGAGCGCGCAAUGAAAGUGAAAGUUGGGAUCUCUGUCGUGGAGAGCACCAAUGCCCGGACCAGACCUUCUGUGACGGUUCCGCGGUAGAGCAUGUAUGUUGGGACCCGAAAGAUGGUGAACUAUGCCUGAAUAGGGUGAAGCCAGAGGAAACUCUGGUGGAGGCUCGUAGCGAUUCUGACGUGCAAAUCGAUCGUCAAAUUUGGGUAUAGGGGCGAAAGACUAAUCGAACCAUCUAGUAGCUGGUUCCUGCGAUCUCCUCUCCCCGGGAGUAAAAA